Micropterus dolomieu (smallmouth bass) is the source of this 492-nucleotide long non-coding RNA. RefSeq lists it as uncharacterized. The transcript has 3 exons. NCBI's taxonomy places the organism in Eukaryota, Metazoa, Chordata, Actinopteri, Centrarchiformes, Centrarchidae. The record is from RefSeq and is a predicted model, not a curated record.
GCGCUGUCUGUUUUGGAUAUCUGCCUGUAAUUCUGUCGGCCUGUAUGUUGGAUUUUGUGUUUUCCCUUGCCCUUGUGGAGUCUUGUUGGGACCCAGUCACUGCUUCAAAAAAACUCAGACUCAGACCACAGCUGUGUUCUGCAAAGACAAGCUCCCAUCGCUGCCAAGAGGUUCUCAUAUCAUGCAGCAAACAGCACCAGUGUGGAAACUCAGUGCCCCCUUAAUAGGGACCCAUCGCCAGGGGAUUGAACUCCAGAAGAGUUUGCUUUGGCGGAGGCGGUCUUUAUCGGCCUCUGGUGGCGACCCGUAGGAGCUACACAGACAUCCAGGAUAUGUAUGGAUUCGUCUCGUGGAGACCAAUAAAAAGAGCCCACUUGUAGGAUGUUCUGUUCUCAAGCUGUGGCCUGUAAAGCACAGGAGUGCUUUUAGUCACAGGAAUAUUGACUGUUUUUAUAAUAAUUCAAUGUUUUGGAAGCUUUGUUAUUUGGAACG